RNAcentral lists this ribosomal RNA (468 nucleotides) under uncultured bacterium. Its description in RNAcentral is "partial 16S ribosomal RNA". It matches the Rfam family "Bacterial small subunit ribosomal RNA", at positions 28 to 507 of the family's 1533-position model. The record is from RNAcentral.
GACGAACGCUGGCGGCGUGCUUAACACAUGCAAGUCGAACGGAAAGGCCCUGCUUUUGUGGGGUGCUCGAGUGGCGAACGGGUGAGUAACACGUGAGUAACCUGCCCUUGACUUUGGGAUAACUUCAGGAAACUGGGGCUAAUACCGGAUAGGAGCUCCUGCUGCAUGGUGGGUGUUGGAAAGUUUCGGCGGUUGGGGAUGGACUCGCGGCUUAUCAGCUUGUUGGUGGGGUAGUGGCUUACCAAGGCUUUGCCGGGUACCCGGCCUGAGAGGGUGACCGGACACAUUGGGACUGAGAUACGGCCCGGACUCAUACGGGAGGCAGCGGUGGGGUAUAUUGCACAAUGGGCGGAAGCCUGAUGCAGCAACGCCGCGUGCGGGAUGACGGCAAUCGGGUUGUAACCCGCUUUCGCCUGUGACGAAGCGUGAGUGACGGUAAUGGGUAAAGAAGCACCGGCUAACUACGUG